This 408-nucleotide ribosomal RNA is filed under the name Triticum aestivum (bread wheat). RNAcentral's name for it is "partial small subunit ribosomal RNA". The record is from RNAcentral. Lineage: Eukaryota; Viridiplantae; Streptophyta; Magnoliopsida; Poales; Poaceae.
AUGGAGGCCGGGUGGAUAUCGGCCCCCGUCUCGGGAGGGCUCCAUUUUCCUGGUUUUAGGGUUAAUGUUUGGUGGGACGACACUCAGGUGGUGGUGGUGGCAUCUUGUCCAACAAAAUCUCCACGGCUUCAGCCCCAUCUUGGCGACGACGUCGAGAAGCUUGUGGGAUUUGUGUGGUUCUUGAGGACUUCUUCUGGCCGUAGGGAUCUAUGGAUCGUCAAGGAGCUUCAUCGGCGGUUCUUCCUCCUUCGUCAUCUUCGGGACAGAUGUGGUCUUCUUGACCCUUUCGGCGCUUCCCAUCCGCAUCCAACAACGUCAGGACGGCUCAGGGAGGAGUGGCAGUGUCGGCGCACCGUCGACAUGGUCUGGGGGUUGAAGACGAAGGGCAUCUCAAGGAUUCCAUUGUAA